GGCUAACGCUGGCGGCGUGUCUUAGCCAUGCAAGUCGAGCGGACUUAUGGGGUAACUUAUAAGUCAGCGGCGGACGGCGGAGUAACACGUAGCUAACCUACCCUCUGGACGGGGAUAACCUACCGAAAGGUGGGCUAAUACCCGAUGUAGUCAUCCUGUAUAGGGGUGAUGAAAGGUGGGCUUCUGUUUACAAGCUCAUGCUGGAGGAGGGGGCUGCGGCCUAUCAGGUAGUUGGUAGGGUAAUAGCCUACCAAGCCGAUGACGGGUAGCCGGCCUGAGAGGGUGACCGGCCCGAGGGGCACUGAGAGACGGGCCCUACUCCUACGGGAGGCAGCAGUGGGGGAUUUUGGACAAUGGGCGAAAGCCUGAUCCAGCGACGCCGCGUGGAGGACGAAGCCCUUCGGGGUGUAAACUCCUUUUCUCAGGGAAAAGGAUGAUGGUACCUGAGGAAUAAGCCCCGGCUAACUACGUG
RNAcentral lists this ribosomal RNA (472 nucleotides) under uncultured bacterium. RNAcentral describes it as "bacterial SSU rRNA". It matches the Rfam family "Bacterial small subunit ribosomal RNA", at positions 28 to 507 of the family's 1533-position model. The record is from RNAcentral.